GUCGAGGCCCAGCAGGCUUGGGUCGGGAGACCCGGGUGCCGGCGGGGGCCGGGCUGGGAGACGCCACGGCCGCCAUCAGUCACCGAGGUGGGGUGGGAAAGAGAGGUUCGCUGCGGCUUCAAGGUCUGAGCACAGCCAGUGGGCAGCCACAGCAGAGGCCUCCGGUGUCUGCAGGGCAGAGGGCUCGGCCUGUCCCGAGGCCCCCCAGUUCAUCCGCCGGCCCGGGGCCAGAGGGCCCUGAAGGCGCGGGCUGCGUUCUGCGUCUCUCCGCGAUCUCUGCCGGACCGGAACUAAGACCAGACCAUUUUCUUCUGGAUGACAAUUAUGCUUUGUCUCAAGCACACUGCUAAACCACUGCUGACUUCAGAUCCAGGAAG
This 377-nucleotide long non-coding RNA is filed under the name Homo sapiens (human). RNAcentral describes it as "HSALNT0325716". Lineage: Eukaryota; Metazoa; Chordata; Mammalia; Primates; Hominidae. The record is from RNAcentral.